RNAcentral lists this ribosomal RNA (367 nucleotides) under uncultured organism. Its description in RNAcentral is "bacterial SSU rRNA". It matches the Rfam family "Bacterial small subunit ribosomal RNA", at positions 526 to 896 of the family's 1533-position model. The record is from RNAcentral.
CGAAGGAUGCAAGCGUUAUCCGGAUUCAUUGGGUUUAAAGGGAGCGUAGGCGGACUUAUAAGUCAGUGGUGAAAUCUCUGGGCUUAACCCAGAAACUGCCAUUGAUACUGUAGGUCUAGAGUACAUUUGCUGUGGCGGAAUAUGACAUGUAGUGGUGAAAUACUUAGAUAUGUCAUAGAACACCGAUUGCGAAGGCAGCUCACAAAAAUGUAACUGACGCUGAGGCUCGAAAGUGCGGGGAUCAAACAGGAUUAGAUACCCUGGUAGUCCGCACUGUAAACGAUGAUUACUCGCUGCUUGAAGGUAACUUUGAGUGGCUUAGCGAAAGCGAUAAGUAAUCCACCUGGGGAGUACGCCGGCAACGGUG